AAUAGAUACCCAGGUAGUCCACGCCGUAAACGAUGAGUGCUAAGUGUUAGAGGGUUUCCGCCCUUUAGUGCUGAAGUUAACGCAUUAAGCACUCCGCCUGGGGAGUACGGCCGCAAGGCUGAAACUCAAAGGAAUUGACGGGGGCCCGCACAAGCGGUGGAGCAUGUGGUUUAAUUCGAAGCAACGCGAAGAACCUUACCAGGUCUUGACAUCCUCUGACAACCCUAGAGAUAGGGCUUCUCCUUCGGGAGCAGAGUGAUAGGUGGUGCAUGGUUGUCGUCAGCUCGUGUCGUGAGAUGUUGGGUUAAGUCCCGCAACGAGCGCAACCCUUGAUCUUAGUUGCCAUCAUUAAGUUGGGCACUCUAAGGUGACUGCCGGUGACAAACCGGAGGAAGGUGGGGAUGACGUCAAAUCAUCAUGCCCCUUAUGACCUGGGCUACACACGUGCUACAAUGGACGGUACAAAGAGCUGCAAGACCGCGAGGUGGAGCUAAUCUCAUAAAACCGUUCUCAGUUCGGA
This 520-nucleotide ribosomal RNA is filed under the name uncultured bacterium. RNAcentral describes it as "bacterial SSU rRNA". It matches the Rfam family "Bacterial small subunit ribosomal RNA", at positions 777 to 1297 of the family's 1533-position model. The record is from RNAcentral.